CCAUAGCUUAGCGGAUAAAGUGUUCGGCUACGAACCGAAAGACCGGGGGUUCGAAUCCCUUUGG
Molecule: transfer RNA, 64 nt
Filed under: human gut metagenome
Rfam family: tRNA
About the family: Transfer RNA (tRNA) molecules are approximately 80 nucleotides in length. Their secondary structure includes four short double-helical elements and three loops (D, anti-codon, and T loops). Further hydrogen bonds mediate the characteristic L-shaped molecular structure. tRNAs have two regions of fundamental functional importance: the anti-codon, which is responsible for specific mRNA codon recognition, and the 3' end, to which the tRNAs corresponding amino acid is attached (by aminoacyl-tRNA synthetases). tRNAs cope with the degeneracy of the genetic code in two manners: having more than one tRNA (with a specific anti-codon) for a particular amino acid; and 'wobble' base-pairing, i.e. permitting non-standard base-pairing at the 3rd anti-codon position.
Source: RNAcentral